GAUGAACGCUGGCGGCGUGCUUAACACAUGCAAGUCGAACGGAAAGGCCCAAGCUUGCUUGGGUACUCGAGUGGCGAACGGGUGAGUAACACGUGGGUGAUCUGCCCUGCACUUCGGGAUAAGCCUGGGAAACUGGGUCUAAUACCGGAUAGGACGAUGGUUUGGAUGCCAUUGUGGAAAGUUUUUUCGGUGUGGGAUGAGCUCGCGGCCUAUCAGCUUGUUGGUGGGGUAAUGGCCUACCAAGGCGUCGGCGGGUAGCCGGCCUGAGAGGGUGUACGGCCACAUUGGGACUGGGAUACGGCCCAGACUCCUACGGGAGGCAGCAGUGGGGAAUAUUGCACAAUGGGCGCAAGCCUGAUGCAGCGACGCCGCGUGGGGGAUGACGGCCUUCGGGUUGUAAACUCCUUUCGCUAGGGACGAAGCGUUUUGUGACGGUACCUGGAGAAGAAGCACCGGCUAACUACGUG
RNAcentral lists this ribosomal RNA (467 nucleotides) under uncultured bacterium. Its description in RNAcentral is "partial 16S ribosomal RNA". It matches the Rfam family "Bacterial small subunit ribosomal RNA", at positions 28 to 507 of the family's 1533-position model. The record is from RNAcentral.